GUCUUGUCACACAACUACCACAA
RNAcentral lists this small nuclear RNA (23 nucleotides) under Arabidopsis thaliana (thale cress). RNAcentral's name for it is "snRNA_01829". The record is from RNAcentral. Lineage: Eukaryota; Viridiplantae; Streptophyta; Magnoliopsida; Brassicales; Brassicaceae.